This 468-nucleotide ribosomal RNA is filed under the name uncultured bacterium. Its description in RNAcentral is "partial 16S ribosomal RNA". It matches the Rfam family "Bacterial small subunit ribosomal RNA", at positions 28 to 507 of the family's 1533-position model. The record is from RNAcentral.
GACGAACGCUGGCGGCGUGCUUAACACAUGCAAGUCGAACGGAAAGGCCCUGCUUUUGUGGGGUGCUCGAGUGGCGAACGGGUGAGUAACACGUGAGUAACCUGCCCUUGACUUUGGGAUAACUUCAGGAAACUGGGUCUAAUACCGGAUAGGAGCUCCUGCUGCAUGGUGGGGGUUGGAAAGUUUCGGCGGUUGGGGAUGGACUCGCAGCUUAUCAGCUUGUUGGUGGGGUAGUGGCUUACCAAGGCUUUGACGGGUAGCCGGCCUGAGAGGGUGACCGGCCACAUUGGGACUGAGAUACGGCCCAGACUCCUACGGGAGGCAGCAGUGGGGAAUAUUGCACAAUGGGCGGAAGCCUGAUGCAGCAACGCCGCGUGCGGGAUGACGGCCUUCGGGUUGUAAACCGCUUUCGCCUGUGACGAAGCGUGAGUGACGGUAAUGGGUAAAGAAGCACCGGCUAACUACGUG